UGCAGCGCAGUUAGGGAAGAAAGUAACAGCAGCAGCAGAAGACAUGUUGUUGCCUCUUGUAGACAAAGGCAGUCAUUUCUCCUGCAGCCAAUGAGCACCACACAGCAUGAUUAUUCUGUUUUAUAGCUGCUGUUCUGUGUGCGUGUUUGAGGUUUUACAUGAACACUUUUACCACCUGUCGGGAAUCUCCACUGCUCUACAGCAUGUUACUUUCCUCUCCAUACAUCAAUGUAGAAGCCUCAAUAUUAAGCUUUCUCAAGCACUUGGCUUCUGUAACCUCCACAAUUUCUAGAGUGGAUUAAAGCCCAAUAUCACAAAUUCAAAAUGGGCCUCUGCAUGAUGUUUUGAUGAGCCUGUUCUGUCACAUACGUGAUGCGAGGGCGAGUUGGGU
Sander lucioperca (pikeperch) is the source of this 391-nucleotide long non-coding RNA. RefSeq lists it as uncharacterized. The transcript is spliced from 2 exons. NCBI's taxonomy places the organism in Eukaryota, Metazoa, Chordata, Actinopteri, Perciformes, Percidae. The record is from RefSeq and is a predicted model, not a curated record.